RNAcentral lists this ribosomal RNA (775 nucleotides) under uncultured Neocallimastigales. Its description in RNAcentral is "partial large subunit ribosomal RNA". It matches the Rfam family "Eukaryotic large subunit ribosomal RNA", at positions 24 to 634 of the family's 3401-position model. Lineage: Eukaryota; Fungi; Neocallimastigomycota; Neocallimastigomycetes; Neocallimastigales. The record is from RNAcentral.
UAUCUCUGUAGAGUCUGCAUAUCAAUAAGCGGAGGAAAAGAAACUAACUAGGAUUCCCUUAGUAACGGCGAGUGAAGCGGGAAGAGCUCAGAUUUGAAAUCUUCAAGGUUUUACCUUGACGAAUUGUAGUUUAAAGAAGUGUUUUCUGUUGGUGUUUUGGUAAAAGUUCUUUGGAAUAGGACAUCAUAGAGGGUGAGAAUCCCGUAUUUGACCAUUACUUCCAGCGUUGUGAUACACUUUCAAAGAGUCGGAUUGUUUGGGAAUGCAGUCCAAAAUGGGUGGUAAAUUUCAUCUAAAGCUAAAUAUUGGCGAGAGACCGAUAGCGAACAAGUACCGUGAGGGAAAGAUGAAAAGAACUUUGAAAAGAGAGUUAAACAGUACGUGAAAUUGUCAAAAGGGAAGCGUUUGACACCAGCGUUGUUUUCUCGAAAAUCAAUUAAAAAAAGUUGGAUUUUGUAUUGUUAAGACCUUAUCAGCUUACUGUACUCUUUUCUUGCUUUUUUUAAUGCACUUUUCGUUUAACAAGUCAACAUCAAUUUCUUUUGUUGUAAAAGAGUCAUUGGAAGGUGGCUUUCACUUCGGUGAAAGUGUUUAUAGCCUUUGGCUUCUGCAAUCGGAGAGAUUGAGGUCUGCAGCGUAGAUCCUUCGGGGCUAGAUACGUAGAUGCUAAGUUAUAGCUUUUUAUAGACAACUUGUUGACUAUGAUUAAGUCAUGUAGCUUACUCGUUAUGCCUAUUUUACCUACGCUUAGGAUGUUGACGAUCAGCUGAGCGCG